RNAcentral lists this ribosomal RNA (496 nucleotides) under uncultured bacterium. RNAcentral describes it as "partial 16S ribosomal RNA". It matches the Rfam family "Bacterial small subunit ribosomal RNA", at positions 28 to 507 of the family's 1533-position model. The record is from RNAcentral.
GACGAACGCUGGCGGCGUGCCUAAUACAUGCAAGUUGAGCGCUGAAGGUUGGUACUUGUUCCAACUGGAUGAGCAGCGAACGGGUGAGUAACGCGUGGGGAAUCUGCCUUUGAGCGGGGGACAACAUUUGGAAACGAAUGCUAAUACCGCAUAAAAACUUUAAACACAAGUUUUAAGUUUGAAAGAUGCAAUUGCAUCACUCAAAGAUGAUCCCGCGUUGUAUUAGCUAGUUGGUGAGGUAAAGGCUCACCAAGGCGAUGAUACAUAGCCGACCUGAGAGGGUGAUCGGCCACAUUGGGACUGAGACACGGCCAAACUCCUACGGGAGGCAGCAGUAGGGAAUCUUCGGCAAUGGACGAAAGUCUGACCGAGCAAAGCCGCGUGAGUGAAGAAGGUUUUCGGAUCGUAAAACUCUGUUGGUAGAGAAGAACGUUGGUGAGAGUGGAAAGCUCAUCAAGUGACGGUAACUACCCAGAAAGGGACGGCUAACUACGUG